AUACAAAAAGGUUGAGGGCGUCUAGUUAUAAAAGUUUGGGACAACUAUUGAAUACUUGAUCAAUGAGAGUUCACCUAAGAGUAAUAACAAGCUAUAGCCUUAAGGUCAACUUUAGUUAAUGAUCACAUAAAACUUAUAAAUACGUCACUAGUUCAGUUGCGAUAUGGAAUUCAAACGAGUGCUUUUGAAUCAAUCAGAGAAUGCGUCGUUUUCUGAAUUUUCAACUAAACACAUUAAUGUUCUCGGGAAAAAGAAAACAAUUGAAAAACAGCAACUCGUGGGAAGUGUUCAUAUAAUUCAAGUUGCAAGUGAAUGAUACACCAAUUUGAUAAUUGCAGCUUCGCAGGUCCACUCUACCCUACUGCCUGAUAUACUCAUCCCAUCUAUAUCGAAACUUUCAAAUUUGAUAUAUAUAUAUAUAUAUAUGGAAAUAUAAAUAUGCAUUUGUAAUGUUUGUUCUUUUCUACUAUCCUAAAGAGGUUUGGAGAUAAAUCAAAUGUAACUAAAAAUCAUACUAUAAAAUUACUUUAAACACGCAAAGCAGACAUGAUUUUAUUUUAUUUAUCUUUCCGAAUUAUUUAUAUCAACACAAACUUAGAUUAUUUGUCCUACAUAUCUUAGUAUAAGCUACUCUGUCACGCCUAUAAAUUAUAUCAACAUGUCUCAUAUAGAGCACAUUAUAAAAUCCUCGAUUAUGAUAUCAGAUUUUUUAUUAAUAUGUUAACUUGUAUAGAAUAUAGGUUCUGAGUUUGCGUUUUGUCUUUGACAUUAAAUAGUUAUAUUUAUGUAACAAGACAAAUCUAUCAAAAAUGACAUUUUUAUCAUAAAAUAAAAUUUAGUCUAGCAUGAAAAUCUAUAUACCCCGAGCGUGCUAAAGUUUUUAGGGCUUUAAGAUGCAUAAGAAACAAUGCAGGAAGUAUAUAAUGCUUUUAAGAGCAGACGUUACGUUUGGUUUAACAACGUCCCAAAGACAUUACUUCGAAAAGUACGUCGACGAUUUGAUAAGAACUGUCCGGUAAUGAUAUAUCUAGGGACAAAGAAAGAAAAGAAAAUGUGAAUCUAAAUACUUUGAAGGAAGAGCAAAUUAGCUCAAUAUACUUAAAAGGGUGGAAUACCAUACAAAUGGGGGAAAAUGGUAAUGAUGGAAGGAAGAAAAUUGGAGGGAUAUAGGGUAUAGAGUGCAAAUAGGGGAUAUUUGGUGUGUAGGGAGUACAAAUUCUCUUGAAGGAAUAUUAAAACAAAACCGAUCAAAAAUUGUCAUAUAGAUUCAAAAGAUGCGUAUUUGUAUAGUGAAGUGGAAAUCCGAUUGCGACUUGGUACGUCACUGCAUAUAUCUAACCUAAUUACGAAAAUAAUGACAAAGUAUACACAUUAACAAAGCAAAUACUUAUCCCAGCUAACAUUUCUUAAUAAAUCAACCAAACAAAUUUAACAAUUUAUUGAUCAACAUUAUAACAUAAAACUUCACGACCAGUCUACCCAGGGGCGUCCCUGAGGAGAGCCAUUUGAAACAUGGGCCUGGGGCCCCCAUUAUUAAAAGGCCCCUAUUUUAAAAAAAAAAUAUUUUGUUUUUUUUGAAACAUUAAAAAAAUAUUUAUAUGUAUUAAUAAUAAAAUCGAACAACAGAAUUUAGUGGGACUUACAUAAAAUAAAUCUUUUCUCUUCCCACAUUUACAGUUUUCUUAGCUUUUUGUUUGAGAAUUAGUUUUUUUUUUCUGUUUUGCUUAAAAAAAAAAUUCUUGCUCACGAAUUUUAAAAUUUCAGUUAUGUUAGAAGGGCCCCCAUUUUUUCAUUUGUUUAGAGCCCCACUUUUUCCAGGACCGCCCCUG
This 1829-nucleotide long non-coding RNA is filed under the name Brassica rapa (field mustard). RNAcentral's name for it is "long non-coding RNA (BRAP_LNC000229)". The record is from RNAcentral. Lineage: Eukaryota; Viridiplantae; Streptophyta; Magnoliopsida; Brassicales; Brassicaceae.